AUUUUCCCGGCGAGAUUCAUCGCCGGCGAAUUUAAAGGUAGUCGGAAAAUCUAGAGAGAAAGAGAGAGAGAGAGAUUUAUAUGUAUUUUUUUGGUGAUUGUUAUUUUUUCUGGUGUGGGAGAAGAGAGGUUGGCUUGUUCUUAUAAAGGAGCAGAGAUCCGAAGCCGAAGAGGCCCAAACGAUGAAAGCUGCUGACUAGGCACUGUAAAUGCCACGUCACGUGCGUGGUGGUAAAUCUUUUUUACGGAGACGUGUCAGUAACUGCUAAUAGGUAAAUUACGUCUCUGACCUCCACUGCCGUCGAAUAUCCGUAACUAUCCGGAAAUGGAUAUUAUUUUAUUUUUUUAAUAGCGAAACAGACUCUUAACCAAUAGUUAAAUAACACGUAUCUUAAGCAAAUCUUAUUUACUCCUCGUUCUGAACCGUCGGGGUAUAUUGUACUAUCUUAUGAGAAGUAAAAUACAAAUGUGGUAUAUUAGUAAUAUUAAUUUUCGAUGAAAAAAUAAUUCAGUUUAAUUUUUAAUACAUCAUUGUUUGAUCCGCUUUAUGUCAGUAAAUAGGGGGAAACAAUAUAUGUAGACUGACCACUAAAAGACAAAAAAGUGACAAUUUUCUUUUAUUAAAAGAAAAGCAUGUUAUGGCAGUAAUUAUCUGAAUGUGAAAUGAUAGGAAUUUAGGAGUAUAAUUUAUUAAAGAUUAAAACUUUAUCCCCAUGCUGUAAUUAUGAAACUUUAAGCUUUGCUUUAUUAACCGCAUUUAAAUCACAAACCUUUAAGUUAAAAUUACUAAAAAUCAUGCAAAAAGACGGGCCCAAGUAUUUGACCGUUUGGUCUAUUCUUGUAAAGAAAAGUAAAAGUUAAAACAAAGAGAAAAAAUAAAAAGGUAAAGGUGGAUUUAAAACAAGUGUAGUGUUAAAAACGAAUAUAAGAAGAUGACUCUUCCCUUGUACGCAUGUAUGCAAUUAUCCUACCUGCUGGUAAAUUAGAGGACAACCAUAUACAUGUGAAUUUGUAAUAGUGACGACUCGUACGUAUGUAAAUAAUAUGUCGAAUUUCAACUUUUUAAAAAACUGCAUCAGAUAUUUAAAUUUUAAAUAGCCAUUUCUAUUUUUUAUUUGAACAAAUUAGCUCAAUAUACUAAAAAGAGUGGGAUACCAUAGAAUAGGGGGAAAAUGGUAAUGAUGGAGGUAAAAAAAUUGGAGGAAUAUAGGAUAUGGAGUGCAAAUAGGGAAUAUUUGAUGUGCAGAAAGUACAAAUUCUCCCUGAACAUUAACAUUUAUUUCUUUUAUUCAUUUCAUGUUGUGUAUAUUCAGUUCCAAACAUUAUUCGGUUUUAGUUUUGCUGGGUCGCUGAACAAAUCUUCAGUAAAUAGAAUUUUAAUAGAAUUAUUUUAUGUGGUUUUCAAAAGUAAUAUUGUAUACCUUUUAAAUUAUUUUAUACUGUAUGAUAUUUAAUAACAAAUCUAGUUUCGAAAUAUAUAUAAGACUUUUUUUGUUUAUAUACAGUAUAUAUCUAAGUUUUUGUUUAUUAUUAUUAUUAUUUUUAGUUUUUCUUUAUUAUAAUUAAUCUUAUUUUAUUCUUUCAAACUAACAUUGUCUUUUAAAAAAUAAGACCAUUGUUUUACAUGAAUUCAGGGACAAUCGCACUCAUUGUUCUUUAACCGAAGCGGUCCUAUCUCCAAACAUUUGAAACUUAUGAAAAUAUACGAAUAAUUUGUUAGUAUAGUUAAUGGGUCCUCUAGAAUUUGUGACACAAAAUGGUAAAAGUAAAUAAACAGUAUAAUAGACUUAACAUCGGUAGAAAUGUAUACGAUUCACAAUAUCGACAUCAUUUCCCAACUCUAUACAUGUAUUAUACAAAUUAAUAUCAGAGAAACGAAAUAACAGGCUUUGAUUUACUUUUUACUUAUAUAAGUGCAUUGUAACCCUAUUCAAUUUUUUUGUUUUGUUAAAUAAAGCAAUGCUCGAUUAUUCGCGCGUGUGUUUGUCAUCAAAGUAAUGCUACAUUGUUACCACUAUACUAGUAUAAAAUUGAAUUAGUUUAGCAUUGAUAAGCACGAAAAGAAGUGAGGGUCGAUUUGCCCUCCCCAAAACCAAAAAGCUGAUGAUACUUUCCCUCUACAGCAAUCAAGUUAUCAAAACCCUUUUUCUUUCACUUUAUUUUCCCCUUUUUUCCCCUGUCCGUGACAUACAUACUAAGUGGACUAUGUCGGUCUUCAAAAUUUAACAAAGUAAGUAAAUAAGAUUUUUAUAUUUUUUUCAAACUAGUUUAUAUAAGAAGUUAAGAAUGUAUAAAAAUAAUAAAAGAUAACCCAAUUACUUAACUAGAAUUUUGAUAGAACAAAAGAACUGAAAUUUUAUGAUAUUUUCUUUAAAAACCUUUAAUUACUAAAAUAGUAUAACUGUUAUGGCGGAAAUGGGUCUUCUGGAAUUUGUGAGCACUAAUAAACAUCAAUUUCGGAAAUUGUCCAAUGCUCUCUUGAUGAGUUUCCAUUGUAGAGACGGUGAAUAAUUUUAAUCCUUGAUUUUUGCAGAAGUUCUAACCUCUCUUUCAGCCGUCUAUUAGAACGCACACCAUCAUGAGACUAUUGUCUUCAUUUAUGUGAAAUGCGUUUAUGUUUCCUUAACAUACCUACUGUUAUGGUUUUAUGCUUUGAUUUUUUUGUAAUAUUCUGGAUUUUUUUGUCCACGUGGCUCAAUAAAAAACAGUGUUAAAAAAAUCAAAGCUCGAGUUAGAUCGUGAAAAAUAUAUCGAUUGUCUCAUGUGUUAGUUAUAUGGAAAUAAAAUUUAAAUUACUAAUAUUUGAUGAUUUUAUGAAUAUUAUCACACAACAAAAAGUAAUAUUUGAUCACUGCAUCUUUGACUCCAAAUCUUCGUCUCCACUACGGUGGUUCUCAUGAUCACUUUUUCAUAGCAAAGCUAUUUUUUGGUCUAAAUGCCUAUAUAGAAACAUGAAAGGUUUUUCACUUUUGGAAAAAUGAUUUAUUGAUGCAGUGUAACAAACUCCCAACAUUUAUUAUUUCAAUUUAUUAGUAUGUCAUUUUAUAGUACAGUAGUUUUUUGUCUCUUUAGUAUUUCGUUUAGAUUCCAACUAAAUUUAAUUAAAGGGGAGACAGUAAUACAAAACCCUCUGGGACCUGGACAGAUAUUAUUUUCACUCCCGUUUUACCUUUUUAUCUUCUUCUUUUUGGGUUUUUCUUUAUACUUUCUUUAAUUCAUUAAUGAUGUAUUUCAGGCAAUAAAUUAAUUAUUUACUAAACAUUUAGUUUCAAAAAUCAACCACUUUGUCACGCCUUAACCCAACCACCAUAUCGAGAAUUCACAGCUGACGUAUUUCUCUACUACCAAUAAACCCAUUGUAUACUAAUAUCUUCAAGAAGCAAGUGAAUAUAUUAAUGCUUCCUUAUAUGAAUGAUUAAUGUUUUAAAUUUGUUUUUGUAAUUAAAACAGACAUUUAAAAAUAUAAUUUAACGCAUUUUCUCUGAAAACUAAAAUAAAAGAUAAAUGAUAUUAAAAGUUAUUGGUAUCCAAAAAGCAAUAGCCCAUAAAUAAUUUUUUAAUAUAUGUACAAAAUUUAAGAUAUCAUUCUUUUGGUAUUUCACUUAAUUACAAUACUAAUAUUUUUUUCCUUUCACAAUAAAUACCGUUUAAAGGUUUUGAACUCAAAUUAAAAAAAAAUUAUGUUUUACUUUUAUUUAAUAAACUAUUAUGUUGAAAAAUUCGUUUAAUAUAUUAUUAAAAAUAUAAAACGAUAAUCUAUCCGUUUCAUUCUAAUUGUCGUUUAAACUUGGACACAUAAAUUAAAAGAUAUUAAUUUUGUAUAUUUACUAAAUUAAAAGAUCAUUACCAAUAUAUCUAACCACAUUUCAACUAAUAGAAAAAUAGAUUGAAAUAUAAAUUUAGUAGAUUUUGUAUUAAAAUUAUAAAACGAUAUUUAUUUUGAAAUGAAAAAUUUACUUUACAAUAAUAAUUAAACUGAAACGGAGGGAGUACUUAUGAUAAAACAAAUGUAAAACUACACUUAAUAUAAAAUUAAAAUAAUAUUAUUUUGGAAAAAGCACAAUUGGUGCUUCCGCUUGUGAGAACUUCUUUCAGGAAUACUAGCAGUUAUUAUAUUUUGAAACUCAUCGUUAAGUUCCCCUUUAAAAAGUAACUGGUAAAACAAUAAUGAAUUGAUGGAAUAAAAAAAAAUUGGAAUGAUAGCAAUGAAAUAUAGUAAAAAUUGGAAUGAAAUUCAUUCUAUUCACUCAUAACCAAAUUUAUUUUAGAAUCAUUUAUUUUUAUAUUUAUCUAUUUUUUUAUGGAACUGAUGGAAUGAGUAUUCUAUUCUAUUCAGAUCAAAUGGUAAAAAAAAAUUUCGAAUAAAUGAAAUAAGACAUUCCACAUCAUUCUAUUCCAAAAUUGACAAUUCAGUUGCAGCCUUCUAUUCGAGACUAGAAAAAAGUUCAAUUCUUUUUUUUCUGGUCAAAAAAGAAAGUUCAGUUCUAACAGCAUUUACAACUCAAGACAUGAUUGUGAAUUUGUAAUCCAUAUUAACACUCUACUAUACAGACUAUAUUUUAUUUCGUAUAUAGUCUAAUUGUGAUUUCAUGAUUCAUUGAAUUUAUCCAAAUGUUCAUUUAUGGAUCAUACAGAUUUUCAAUAUAAUUGGCGGAGAAACAUAGCUGUAUUUAAGCUGAUUUGGAGAUUAGCUAUUUCGAAGACUCAUAUAUCAUCAUAGGGAAAAUCGCAUAAAAAACCUUGAAAGUGUCACUUACUAGCACUUUAAACUUUGAAGUUUUUUCGCUAGCACUUUUAACCUUCAAAGUGACAUUUUUAUCAUAAAAAACCUCCAAACAAAAAAAAUGACCGGUUGAACAGGUUAAAAACAGUUUUUUUUUUCAAAAAAUAAAUAUUUAAUUAAUAAAAUAAAUAAAAAAAUUAAUAAAAAUCGAAAAAUUUAACAAAAAACUCACAAAUUAAAAAA
This is a long non-coding RNA of Brassica rapa (field mustard), 4965 nucleotides long. RefSeq lists it as uncharacterized. NCBI's taxonomy places the organism in Eukaryota, Viridiplantae, Streptophyta, Magnoliopsida, Brassicales, Brassicaceae. The record is from RefSeq and is a predicted model, not a curated record.